This is a long non-coding RNA of Hydractinia symbiolongicarpus, 801 nucleotides long. RefSeq lists it as uncharacterized. The record is from RefSeq and is a predicted model, not a curated record. The transcript is spliced from 3 exons. NCBI's taxonomy places the organism in Eukaryota, Metazoa, Cnidaria, Hydrozoa, Anthoathecata, Hydractiniidae.
CAACACUGACAACUCUUUGGGAAUCAAGGGAUGACAAUUUCUUUUUGGAAUGGUCCAGCAAUUUACUGAAAUCUUUGUUUAAAUCAUCUUUUCCACGUGGUUUAUUUUGAAAGGAUAACUUCUCCACACCUGCUACAAGUUCGGCAGACUUCGGCGAGCACCGAACUGAAAAGGCUAAGGAAUCAUUUUGUAUUGACUUGCAGCAAGUAAACGGAAGUUUUGAAUAUAUGAUUGCGGAAUGAAGUUGAGCAAUGCUGUUAAGAAGAAACAUGACUGGAAAACAUUUAUCCUCUGUGUCGCAUGUGAUUACAGAAGAAAAGCAGGCUUUGACUAAGCAGAAAUCAUAGCAUUAAUUUAAUGACUACUAGCUACGCUUUCAGAUUCAAAUCUUCUGGCAGUAGACACUUUCCAAACGAUUUUUCAACAUGUCAUAAGGCCAAUAAAGAGAACACUUGAUGAUAUUUUGGUUUAAGAUCUCUAGCGCAUAUCGAAAUAAUCCCUGGAGAUGGUGCUAAUUAUACACAAUUCUAAUAAGAAAAAGACAUGGUUUUAUUAAUGGGUGAAAUGGCGAUGUUUUUCACAUUUUCACUAAAAGUUGUCAUGCUGAUAGGCAUGGAAAAUGUUUUUGAUUUUACUAACAUGGCGACAAUGACUUAGCAUAUAUACUUAUUACAACCCAAUGGACACAUGUGUAAUAAUGUAGUUAACGAUAUCUGUUCUUGAAUGAUUUUGUAUUGUUAAAAAUUUUAGGUAUUUAGAGUAAUUAUCACAUAUUAGCUACAAGGUAUUUUCAAGUUUGAU